CGAUCAAUAGCUCAGUCAGUCAGCAUGAGACUUUUAAUUUCAGGGUUGUGAGUUCAAGCUCCACAUUGGUUGA
This is a non-coding RNA of Podarcis lilfordi (Lilford's wall lizard), 73 nucleotides long. NCBI's taxonomy places the organism in Eukaryota, Metazoa, Chordata, Lepidosauria, Squamata, Lacertidae. The record is from the annotation of a GenBank genome assembly.